GGUGUUAAGAGACUAAAAGAGAUACGNAUAUUCCNUCAUGACGUUCAGACGCACGCGCGCAUGUGUGUGUGUGUGUAUAUAUAUACGUGCACGUGUGGGGUGGUAUGCGUGUUCAGUGGUGGAAGGGCACUCCAAACGCGAAGGUCUCCUUCAAAAAGAUACUGCACACCCGCGCGUGUGUGUACUCGUUGUUAUUUCGGGUGCGUGCGCGUGUCUGCGUGUGUACGUAAGAGACAGGGGUUGGACGACACAACGCCAAAUGGGAGAGCGGGUCCGAUCGAAUUCCUGCUUGAGAGCGGAAAGUUCCACGGUAUUU
RNAcentral lists this unclassified non-coding RNA (316 nucleotides) under Trypanosoma grosi. RNAcentral's name for it is "partial miscellaneous RNA". Lineage: Eukaryota; Euglenozoa; Kinetoplastea; Trypanosomatida; Trypanosomatidae. The record is from RNAcentral.